UCCAGAGGGGGCAAGCGUUAUUCGGAUUUACUGGGCGUAAAGCGCGCGCAGGCGGCUUUGCAAGUCAGGGGUGAAAUCCCAGAGCUCAACUCUGGAAUUGCCUUUGAGACUGUGAGGCUUCGAGUACGGGAGAGGUGAGUGGAAUUCCCAGUGUAGAGGUGAAAUUCGUAGAUAUUGGGAAGAACACCAGUGGCGAAGGCGGCUCACUGGCCCGUUAUUGACGCUCAGGCGCGACAGCGUGGGGAUCAAACAGG
This 254-nucleotide ribosomal RNA is filed under the name uncultured bacterium. RNAcentral's name for it is "partial 16S ribosomal RNA". It matches the Rfam family "Bacterial small subunit ribosomal RNA", at positions 524 to 776 of the family's 1533-position model. The record is from RNAcentral.